UACGUAGGGGCAAGCGUUAUCCGGAUUUACUGGGUGUAAAGGGAGCGUAGACGGCGGUGCAAGCCAGAUGUGAAAGCCCGGGGCUCAACCCCGGGACUGCAUUUGGAACUGUGCUGCUAGAGUGUCGGAGAGGCAGGCGGAAUUCCUAGUGUAGCGGUGAAAUGCGUAGAUAUUAGGAGGAACACCAGUGGCGAAGGCGGCCUGCUGGACGAUGACUGACGUUGAGGCUCGAAAGCGUGGGGAGCAAACAGG
RNAcentral lists this ribosomal RNA (252 nucleotides) under uncultured bacterium. RNAcentral describes it as "partial 16S ribosomal RNA". It matches the Rfam family "Bacterial small subunit ribosomal RNA", at positions 524 to 776 of the family's 1533-position model. The record is from RNAcentral.